RNAcentral lists this ribosomal RNA (254 nucleotides) under uncultured bacterium. RNAcentral describes it as "partial 16S ribosomal RNA". It matches the Rfam family "Bacterial small subunit ribosomal RNA", at positions 524 to 776 of the family's 1533-position model. The record is from RNAcentral.
UACGGGGGGAGCAAGCGUUGUUCGGAUUUACUGGGCGUAAAGGGCGCGUAGGCGGCCACUGCAAGUCAGUUGUGAAAUCUCCGGGCUUAACCUGGGAACUGCGCUUGUUACUGGCAAGCUUGAGUGUGGCAGAGGGGGGUGGAAUUCCACGUGUAGCAGUGAAAUGCGUAGAGAUGUGGAGGAACACCGAUGGCGAAGGCAGCCCCCUGGGCUAACACUGACGCUCAUGCACGAAAGCGUGGGGAGCAAACAGG